AGACAGUGGAACUCCAUGUGUAGCGGUGGAAUGCGUAGAUAUAUGGAAGAACACCAGUGGCGAAGGCGGCUGUCUAGUCUGUAACUGACGCUGAGGCUCGAAAGCAUGGGUAGCGAACAGGAUUAGAUACCCUGGUAGUCCAUGCCGUAAACGAUGAGUGCUAAGUGUUGGAGGGUUUCCCCCUUCAGUGCUGCAGCUAACGCAUUAAGCACUCCGCCUGGGGAGUACGACCGCAAGGUUGAAACUCAAAGGAAUUGACGGGGGCCCGCACAAGCGGUGGAGCAUGUGGUUUAAUUCGAAGCUACGCGAAGAACCUUACCAGGUCUUGACAUCUUCUGCCAAUCUUAGAGAUAAGACGUUCCCUUCGGGGACAGAAUGACAGGUGGUGCAUGGUUGUCGUCAGCUCGUGUCGUGAGAUGUUGGGUUAAGUCCCGCAACGAGCGCAACCCUUAUUAUCAGUUGCCAGCAUUCAGUUGGGCACUCUGGUGAGACUGCCGGUGACAAACCGGAGGAAGGUGGGGAUGACGUCAAAUCAUCAUGCCCCUUAUGACCUGGGCUACACACGUGCUACAAUGGACGGUACAACGAGUCGCGAAGUCGUGAGGCUAAGCUAAUCUCUUAAAGCCGUUCUCAGUUCGGAUUGUAGGCUGCAACUCGCCUACAUGAAGUUGGAAUCGCUAGUAAUCGCGGAUCAGCAUGCCGCGGUGAAUACGUUCCCGGGCCUUGUACACACCGCCCGUCACACCAUGAGAGUUUGUAACACCCAAAGCCGGUGAGAUAACCUUCGGGAGUCAGCCGUCUAAGGUGGGACAGAUGAUUAGGGUGAAGUCGUAACAAGGUAACCA
RNAcentral lists this ribosomal RNA (845 nucleotides) under uncultured Lactobacillus sp. Its description in RNAcentral is "bacterial SSU rRNA". It matches the Rfam family "Bacterial small subunit ribosomal RNA", at positions 656 to 1502 of the family's 1533-position model. The record is from RNAcentral. Lineage: Bacteria; Bacillati; Bacillota; Bacilli; Lactobacillales; Lactobacillaceae.